Phasianus colchicus (ring-necked pheasant) is the source of this 3367-nucleotide long non-coding RNA. NCBI's taxonomy places the organism in Eukaryota, Metazoa, Chordata, Aves, Galliformes, Phasianidae. The record is from Ensembl.
GUGUUUUGCUGUGGCGUUCUGUUCUAUCUCACGUCUGUUCUGCAGAGAAAAUACUGACGCUUCCUCCCACAUCAAUCUGUUGCUGAAACAACUAUUCGUACUGCUUUAAAAAUAUCACAUAAAUCUGAUGGUUCGGUUCCCGGUUUGGCGUGGCUGCUUCCACCAAAUAUAGAUUUAGUAAAUACUAAAAAUUAUCCGUGGUUUGCAUUGCGUGUGCUGAAGGAGUAGUCCUAAUGAUAGCCUUGGGUGAACUGGAGCCUGCGCGUCACAGAAAUGUGAUCAUGAUGCACUAAUGCCAGUUCAUUCUUUGCUCCCCUCCUGGAGCAAUGCCUACUGAUCCCUUCCAAGAGAAAAUCUGGGUGCAGAAGGCAGAUGUUUUCUCCAGUGUCCAGCGAAGCCAAAUAGCAUGAAUGGAAAGUUGCAUCAAGUUUGUUUUUCUUCACCUGAGACAGCAUUCCAGUGUUAUCAUGCUCGGUACUACCCCAAAAUCACUGACACAAAGAGAACACAAUCCUGCAAGCCUUCUGCUUGGCAGCCCCUCGCAGCGCAGGAGGUGUCGGAGGGAUGCAGCCGUUCCGGGCUCCGAGGCUGGCUGCGCUCCGGGCGCCGUGCUGCCGCAGUGACCCGCGUCAGCCUGCGAGCGGCAGCGUUCGCCCGGGUACCGGCCGCGGGGUCCCGCUUAGCUGGAAGCCGCGCAUCGCCUGAAAUGUUUAAACAUCGCUCUUGUUUUUCCGAAUGUUUGUAUAUGACAGCCCUCGUGCUGACUCUGGAUAUAGAAUGAAGCUAGAAGCGAUGCUGUGUCAACUGCAAUAAUUCUCCGUCGGUUUGCUCUAAACCCAUCAGUUAUUGUAAAGAUGCUUCUCUGCACUGCAAAAGCUUUUCUCUCGAACUUUGGGAACACUUCCAGUUUACAUAUACAUUUCAUAAGUGCCCUUCUGAAUGAGCUGCAUGCCUAGAGGUUAUAUGUAGGGGUCUAGGACGAUGCCAGCUAUUUCCAAGCUUAAGAAAAAAUGAGGCUCUUUAAGUUGAAUGAACUUCAGUUCAAAAGUUCCUAUGGUAUUUUCACAGUGGGCUACAUUAUGGUCAGCUUGUGCCACAGUUAUUCAGGUCAUACUCUGUUAAUUAAAUAUGAUUCUUAAGAAUUUUAGCAUUGGAAUGCAAGGGAGCUACAUUAUUAGUAAGGAUACAGGUAUUAGAUCAUUGUGGCUGUUUCUUGGGGCUACUUCUUUACCCACUGCAGUUACUUUACUGAUAGAUCUUCUCAAAGAGAAAAUUAAGUAAAAGUUUUGAGUAGUUUGCUAACCGUGUAUGGUGUAUAGCAUAUUCCAUGUGUACCUGAGAACAGCAUUUUUUUAUUGGUCUGUUUGAGGUGAAUUUCGUUUUUGCAAUACUAAAAUUUAUUCCCAGGAAGAGUGUGAAACUCAGGAGGGUCCUUUUUCUCAUAAAAUUUUGAUUAGGAAAUGUGGGAAGGUGGUUUUCCUAUGAGGCUGCAUUAUGCUGAGGAAGGAAUAUGGAGCUUGCAGUCUGGAUUCUUUUACUGCCUUGAGAGGCCUAUGCACAUAGCUAGUAAAGUAUUUAGUUAGGAUUCAUUAUAUACUUACACAGGAGGUAUUAAUCACUGUCUUUAAUUUCUGAAGUAGAGAAAUUAGUACCAAUUCAAUGUGAGAAGAACUGGUUAAUUUCAAAAAUGAAGAACUAAUUUGGUGUUGUAUCAUGUAUGUUCCUAAGCCCUUCAGGUUCUGUAAAGCAUAGCCUUUGCCAUCAGUGAUUAAAGUACUAAUGAAUUCAAAAUUCCAAAGAGAGAUGAGGAAGGUGAGUUAGUCUUGGUGUUUACUUGUAAGGUUGAAAAAGGUGAGAAAGGAUGUGUUCCCUUGACUCUUGAGCACUUCAGCUUCACAAAAGGAAAGAAAAAAUCCCCAUGAAUUCACAACAUCACUGUGUGUGUGCAACAGCCUUUAAAUAGACACAGAGUUUUCUCAGGAACACUAAAAUCUGCCAGUGUGCUCCAGAAACAUAAUAUAUUUUAGCAAUAUUUGUUAUGAUUAUAGUUUUAAUUUCCAGAGGCUACAUCUAGUUUUGCGUGGCUGGAAUUUAUGGAGCAGAGCUUUUGAAGGACUAGGAUUAUUUAAGAAGAAAUAUUUUCAUUUUUUCACACACAGAGGCCCUGUGAGCUUACAAAAUCCACAAACCUUUCAAUUUGGGGAGUAUUCUUUCCUGUGUUUGCAGGAACUUUUCACAUUCCUGAAUCCAGUUACGGGAUUUUCCUCCUAAUUGAAUCCAGACUUAACUCUGGAGUUACGUAUUUUGUCAAUUAGUGCAAGUAAGUUCUCUGAAGUUAUUUAGUGAGUGCAAAUAGUUUUACUUAGCACUGUCUGUAGUGCUGUGUCUCCAGUGUUUUUUGUCAUAUUCAAGCAAAGUGUGCUGGGACUUUCAUGUUCCUAAGUUUUCCAAGAAAGUCACACUGGCCUGUGUUAAUUGCAAAGUAUCAUCAGCAGUUCAGCUUAACUGUUUUUCAGGUUGCUUUUUGAAUGGUGAUGUAGCAACAGAAUUCAUUGUGUAGCUUUUCUUUCUUGGUGUUCCCCAUUGUGUGGCUCCCAGUAGGCAGCACAGUGCUGGUAGAAGCUGUGACUGGACCAAGGCAGUCUUGGGUACUACAUAUUGUGUAGCUUGGGGCCUGCUCUCCAGAGAUGCCUGGUAAGGAAGGAUGUCUUGGGGACAUGUUCCCUUCUGGGAUGUUGGGAACAAUUAUAUGGAGCCCUUUCCUCCAAAAGGAUGUGUUUCUUUCUUUGUAGCGUGAUAGGAUUCUUUUGCACGUGCAGCCUGGGGAAGCCAUGGCUGCUUGGGUUCUUUGACAUCAUCUGGGCCAACCUCGCAGCUACCAGUGUGUUAUUUGGUUUUGGUUGUUUGAUUUCCUGCUGCUUUAAGAACAGUGGGCUUCAAAUAAUGCAGUCUCAAGCCAGACUUGAUAGAAAAGCUCUUCUCAAAGAGGGGAAAAAAAAUUGCUGCUUUUAUGUUGUAGGAGGUUAGUAUUGCACAGCUAUAAAACCACUUGUGCUCAGAACUGUUGGUGUUGCCUUCACUGAAGGGUGUUGGGUAAGGAGCUGCCAGCUGGAAAAGUGACGGCAUAGACAAGGACACUGAGUGAUGUCAGAUUUGCCAGGCAAGCUUCCCUCUGUGGACAGGAGUUUGCCUGCAGAGUUUUACCCUGCAUGUCCAGUUCUGUUUGCUAUUUUAAUCUGCUGUGAGAACUGAUAAAAUGCUUUUGCAUGGUUUGCUUAUUAGCCCUAAAUUGCUGAAGCUUUCAACAGGUUAAAAUCCACCACAUUGUUUAUUUCAUGGGGGAAUAAAGAUCUGUAGAAUUAUACCA